Molecule: ribosomal RNA, 2894 nt
Filed under: Bacteroidota bacterium
Lineage: Bacteria; Pseudomonadati; Bacteroidota
Description: bacterial LSU rRNA
Rfam family: Bacterial large subunit ribosomal RNA
Source: RNAcentral
GUUGUAUGGUCAAGUAACUAAGCGCACACGACGGAUGCCUUGGCUGGCAGAGGCGAUGAAGGACGUUGUAGCCUGCGAAAAGCCUGGGGGAGUUGGCAAACAAGCUUUGAUCCCAGGAUGUCCGAAUGGGGAAACCCACCUGUAAAGGUAUCGUUAACUGAAUACAUAGGUUAACGAGGCGAACCCGGGGAACUGAAACAUCUAAGUACCCGGAGGAAAAGAAAUCAACCGAGAUUCCCUAAGUAGCGGCGAGCGAAAGGGGACUAGCCCUUAAGCUUCUUUUGAUUUAGCGGAACGUUCUGGAAAGGACGGCCAUAGUGGGUGAUAGCCCCGUACGCGAAAGGUCAAUUGAAGUGAAAUCGAGUAGGUCGGGACACGUGAUAUCCUGAUUGAAUAUGGGGGGACCAUCCUCCAAGGCUAAAUACUCCUGCCAGACCGAUAGUGAACCAGUACCGUGAGGGAAAGGCGAAAAGAACCCCGGAGAGGGGAGUGAAAUAGAACCUGAAAUCGUGUGCGUACAAGCAGUCGGAGCCCUACGGGGUGACGGCGUACCUUUUGUAUAAUGGGUCAGCGACUUAAUGUGUGUAGCAAGGUUAACCAGAUAGGGGAGCCGUAGGGAAACCGAGUUUUAACCGGCGUUAGUUGCACGCAUUAGACCCGAAACCGGGCGAUCUAUCCAUGACCAGGUUGAAGGUUAGGUAACACUGACUGGAGGACCGAACCCACUGUCGUUGAAAAGCCAGGGGAUGAGUUGUGGAUCGGAGUGAAAGGCUAAUCAAGCCCGGAGAUAGCUGGUUCUCCUCGAAAACUAUUUAGGUAGUGCCUCAUGUCUCACCACUGGGGGUAGAGCACUGUUUCGGCUAGGGGGUCAUCCCGACUUACCAACCCGAGGCAAACUCCGAAUACCAGUGAGUGCAAUCAUGGGAGACACACGGCGGGUGCUAACGUCCGUCGUGGAAAGGGAAACAACCCAGACCGUCAGCUAAGGUCCCAAAAUCUAUGUUAAGUGGGAAACGAUGUGGGAAGGCUCAGACAGCUAGGAGGUUGGCUUAGAAGCAGCCACCCUUUAAAGAAAGCGUAAUAGCUCACUAGUCGAGUCGGCCUGCGCGGAAGAUAUAACGGGGCUAAACAUAGUACCGAAGCUACGGAUGCCUUAGGGCAUGGUAGAGGAGCAUUCUGUAAGCCGCUGAAGGUGAAUUGUGAAGUUUGCUGGAGGUAUCAGAAGAGCGAAUGCUGACAUGAGUAACGAUAAUGGGGGUGAAAAACCUCCACGCCGAAAGACCAAGGGUUCCUGUCCAACGCUAAUCGGGGCAGGGUGAGUCGACCCCUAAGACGAGGGCGAAAGCCGUAGUCGAUGGGAAACGGGUAAAUAUUCCCGUACCGGCUGUUAUUGCGAUGGAGGGACGGAGAAGGCUAGGCAAUCAGGGCGACGGUAGUCCCUGUUCAAGCUAGUAGGCAGAGAUCUUAGGCAAAUCCGGGAUCUUAUAUGCCGAGAGGUGAUGACGAGUCUCUAAGGAGAUGAAGUUGUUGAUGCCAUGCUUCCAGGAAAAGCUUCUAAGCUUCAGAUAACAGACGAUCGUACCCGAAACCGACACAGGUGGUCUGGUAGAGAAUACCAAGGCGCUUGAGAGAACUUGGGUGAAGGAACUAGGCAAAAUGGUACCGUAACUUCGGGAGAAGGUACGCCGGCUUUGGUGAUGGGACUUGCUCCCUAAGCUGAGGCUGGUCGAAGUGACCAGGUGGCUGCGACUGUUUAUUAAAAACACAGCACUCUGCAAACACGAAAGUGGACGUAUAGGGUGUGACACCUGCCCGGUGCCGGAAGGUUAAUUGAUGGGGUUAGCGUAAGCGAAGCUCUUGAUCGAAGCCCCGGUAAACGGCGGCCGUAACUAUAACGGUCCUAAGGUAGCGAAAUUCCUUGUCGGGUAAGUUCCGACCUGCACGAAUGGUGUAACGAUGGCCACGCUGUCUCCACCCAAGACUCAGUGAAAUUGAAAUCGCAGUUAAGAUGCUGUGUAUCCGCGGCUAGACGGAAAGACCCCGUGAACCUUUACUACAGCUUUGCGCUGGACUCUGAAUUAAUCUGUGUAGGAUAGCUGGGAGGCUAUGAAACCGGGACGCCAGUCUCGGUGGAGCCAACCUUGAAAUAAAAGCAUGGUUAAUUUGGGGUUCUAACCUCGCACCGUUAUCCGGUGCAGGGACAGCGUAUGGUGGGUAGUUUGACUGGGGCGGUCUCCUCCCAAAGAGUAACGGAGGAGCGCGAAGGUACCCUCGGAACGGUCGGAAAUCGUUCCAUGAGCGCAAGGGUAGAAGGGUGCUUGACUGUGAGACUGACAAGUCGAACAGGUACGAAAGUAGGUCCUAGUGAUCCGGUGGUUCUGUAUGGAAGGGCCAUCGCUCAACGGAUAAAAGGUACUCCGGGGAUAACAGGCUGAUACCGCCCAAGAGUUCACAUCGACGGCGGUGUUUGGCACCUCGAUGUCGGCUCAUCACAUCCUGGGGCUGAAGCCGGUCCCAAGGGUAUGGCUGUUCGCCAUUUAAAGUGGUACGCGAGCUGGGUUUAGAACGUCGUGAGACAGUUCGGUCCCUAUCUGCCGUGGACGUUUUGAGAAUUGAGAAGAGCUGCUCCUAGUACGAGAGGACCGGAGUGGACGAACCUCUGGUGUUCCGGUUGUUUCGCCAGAAGCAUUGCCGGGUAGCUAAGUUCGGACGGGAUAACCGCUGAAAGCAUCUAAGCGGGAAGCCUCCUUCAAGAUGAGUUCUCACACCCCUUCGGGGGUCUAAAGGGCCGUUAUAGACUAUGACGUUGAUAGGCUGGGUGUGUAAGCGUUGUGAGGCGUUGAGCUAACCAGUACUAAUUGCCCGUGUGGCUUGACCAUACAACACCGAAGCAG